AAGUCUUUACGGAGAAAGCUUUAUGCACCAUUGGAUGAGCCUGCACUUGAUUAGUUUGUUGGUGGGGUAAUGGCCUACCAAGACUGUGAUCAAUAGCUGAUUUGAGAGGAUGAUCAGCCACAUUGGGACUGAGACACGGCCCAAACUCCUACGGGAGGCAGCAGUGGGGAAUCUUGCACAAUGGAGGAAACUCUGAUGCAGCGAUGCCGCGU
Molecule: ribosomal RNA, 212 nt
Filed under: uncultured bacterium
Lineage: Bacteria
Description: partial 16S ribosomal RNA
Rfam family: Bacterial small subunit ribosomal RNA
Source: RNAcentral